GCAAACGGUGUUGGUUAUGCCCCUGUGAUCAAUAACAACAAUGUUGCUGACAAGAACUUCUAUGCUAGAGUGACAGAUAGAUACCCACAAUACAUGUACGACCGACCGUACAUGUACCCGACCCCUAACGACAACCAUUGCCCAUCCCUCUUGGGUUCGGCCAUGUACAACAUGUCUCCUGCAGCUCAUGGAAACUACUUUGGAAAUGCUUACCAGUAUCAAGCUGCUGCAUAUCUUCACU
Molecule: unclassified non-coding RNA, 241 nt
Filed under: Hevea brasiliensis (rubber tree)
Lineage: Eukaryota; Viridiplantae; Streptophyta; Magnoliopsida; Malpighiales; Euphorbiaceae
Source: RNAcentral